CAAGGACCCGCCCGCGCGGGUGGCUAUGCCGGGCGCCUAUCCCUCGGCCAAUC
Molecule: non-coding RNA, 53 nt
Filed under: Aurantimonas sp. Leaf443
Lineage: Bacteria; Pseudomonadati; Pseudomonadota; Alphaproteobacteria; Hyphomicrobiales; Aurantimonadaceae
Description: sul1 RNA
Rfam family: sul1 RNA
Source: Rfam by way of RNAcentral